GAUCAAGAACAGAGCAAAACAAGCUCAAACUUAAUAACAAAGGAAAAGAAUUUUAUUAAGCUACUACUACUAUCACUACUAUAUAAGAAAAAAGAAAGAAAAACACACACAAGAUCAAAAAUGAAAACCUUCCAAAACAUUCCUCCUCCCACCACCCAACUCCAACAAACCACAGUGAGACACAUUUGGGCCCUUCAUCACUAUUCAAUAUAAUCAAUACUGAGUCCAUCAGGGGAGAGAGGAGUCUCCCUUGCACCAUAGACCCCCCGGAAACACAGCUGCCACUCCUUGUGUUUCCAUGUCACACAUGGCACCGCCCGGAGAAAAAGGUUUGCCAGUGUGACCCUCUCCUUUCCAUGCACAGUGCUCUCACCACCGAUGCAUGGAUGGACAGACUGCUUUUAGGAUUUUUCUUUUCAAGGAUACUCUGCCAAGAGGGAAAAAAACAACAGUUCAGUUUUUCAUUUUUUGGGACCACAGUCCCCCCCAUUUUCUUCCUCCCCUGGGGCCGAGGGUCUCAGGAACAGAGAUCUUCUCUUCUUCUCUGAAGACGGGGGGCAUCACCACAAACCUCCCCAACUUUUCUCUGUUCGCUCCACUCCUGUGUUUUCCUCAGCUGCUGAAGCAGGUCUCUUGGCUCACCAGCAUCCUCCUAAAAUACAGUCUCUCUCUUGGAGGAGAAAAUCAGUUCAGUCUAUGGCUAACAAGAAAAAGUCCAGCCAGAAGCCACUCCAUCAUCUCCUUCCACCCAGAAUUUCUCCUUCUAACAUCUCGGGUCCCAGGCUGUCUCUCUUCCUCUCUUUCUAGCCGAGGAGGAGUAAAAUUUCACAAAGCUUUCAUUUCUCAAGGGAGGGUUAAAAGUCCCGACUCCCUGGCUGGCUCUCUGCCCGGAUCUCCGGCUCCCACCUGGGAGCUGGGCACCUUGCGGCCUUGGGGCCCCCCCGCUCUCCUCCUUCCCCACGGUACUGCUGGCAAACGUCGCUGUCCCUUUCGAGAGAGAGACUCUGGGGGGGGGGGGACGGAGACAUCCCAGAUGUUUUCCACCCUUCCAUCUGCAGGGGCCAGCCCGGUUCCAGUCCCUCCACCCUUCGGCCUUACCUCAGCCAGGCCUCGGGCCUUCCCCUCCCCCGCCCAGCGAAGAGCCCGGCAGAGGAGAGUCCCGCACUGCACCCUGACCGGAACCAAAGAGCGAGUUCCCCUGGGAAUGCUGCUUUUAACCCCUCUGUGUUCUCAGAGGCGUGUCCACCCUCCAUUGGUCACCCUAAGUGUCAAUAUCCAAAUUGACCUCUUCUUUCCAAGAAGAUUCUUU
RNAcentral lists this long non-coding RNA (1309 nucleotides) under Chloebia gouldiae (Gouldian finch). RNAcentral's name for it is "Erythrura gouldiae (Gouldian finch) lncRNA (ENSEGOG00005018555.1)". Lineage: Eukaryota; Metazoa; Chordata; Aves; Passeriformes; Passeridae. The record is from RNAcentral.